Molecule: ribosomal RNA, 451 nt
Filed under: uncultured bacterium
Lineage: Bacteria
Description: partial 16S ribosomal RNA
Rfam family: Bacterial small subunit ribosomal RNA
Source: RNAcentral
GUGGGGAAUAUUGGACAAUGGGGGGAACCCUGAUCCAGCCAUGCCGCGUGUGUGAAGAAGGCCUUUUGGUUGUAAAGCACUUUAAGCGAGGAGGAGGCUACCGAGAUUAAUACUCUUGGAUAGUGGACGUUACUCGCAGAAUAAGCACCGGCUAACUCUGUGCCAGCAGCCGCGGUAAUACAGAGGGUGCAAGCGUUAAUCGGAUUUACUGGGCGUAAAGCGCGCGUAGGUGGCCAAUUAAGUCAAAUGUGAAAUCCCCGAGCUUAACUUGGGAAGUGCAUUCGAUACUGGUUGGCUAGAGUAUGGGGGAGGAUGGUAGAAUUCCAGGUGUAGCGGUGAAAUGCGUAGAGAUCUGGAGGAAUACCGAUGGCGAAGGCAGCCAUCUGGCCUAAUACUGACACUGAGGUGCGAAAGCAUGGGGAGCAAACAGGAUUAGAAACCCGGGUAGUCC